This 254-nucleotide ribosomal RNA is filed under the name uncultured bacterium. Its description in RNAcentral is "partial 16S ribosomal RNA". It matches the Rfam family "Bacterial small subunit ribosomal RNA", at positions 524 to 777 of the family's 1533-position model. The record is from RNAcentral.
UACGAAGGGGGCUAGCGUUGCUCGGAAUCACUGGGCGUAAAGCGCACGUAGGCGGAUUGUUAAGUCAGGGGUGAAAUCCUGGAGCUCAACUCCAGAACUGCCUUUGAUACUGAAGAUCUUGAGUCCGGGAGAGGUGAGUGGAACUGCGAGUGUAGAGGUGAAAUUCGUAGAUAUUCGCAAGAACACCAGUGGCGAAGGCGGCUCACUGGCCCGGUACUGACGCUGAGGCACGAAAGCGUGGGGAGCAAACAGGG